CAAGAGCAUCAGCAGCACCCAGAGCGCACUGAGCAAGAGCUCGGCAGCAGAGGAAGAUGGGAAGGGUCAGUCUGAGAAUCUGAGUCCAAAGAAGCCAGACGCCUCUGAAAAGCAAAUCAGACUGAAUGAGGAGAGAUUCGAGAAGCUUCUUAAAACAUUAUCCUCCAUCUCCAGAAACCUGAGAGCCCAGCUGCAGAGGAAGACUCUAC
Molecule: long non-coding RNA, 209 nt
Organism: Seriola dumerili (greater amberjack)
Lineage: Eukaryota; Metazoa; Chordata; Actinopteri; Carangiformes; Carangidae
Exons: 3
Source: RefSeq, a predicted model, not a curated record